This 75-nucleotide transfer RNA is filed under the name Clostridiales bacterium. RNAcentral's name for it is "tRNA-Glu". It matches the Rfam family "tRNA". Rfam says of the family: Transfer RNA (tRNA) molecules are approximately 80 nucleotides in length. The record is from RNAcentral. Lineage: Bacteria; Bacillati; Bacillota; Clostridia; Eubacteriales.
GGCCCCGUGGUCAAGCGGUCAAGACACAGGCCUCUCACGCCUGUAACCGGGGUUCGAUUCCCCGCGGGGUCACCA